Molecule: transfer RNA, 77 nt
Filed under: Marinobacter sp.
Lineage: Bacteria; Pseudomonadati; Pseudomonadota; Gammaproteobacteria; Pseudomonadales; Marinobacteraceae
Also listed under: 11 other names
Description: tRNA-Arg
Rfam family: tRNA
About the family: Transfer RNA (tRNA) molecules are approximately 80 nucleotides in length.
Source: RNAcentral
GCGCCCGUAGCUCAGCUGGAUAGAGCGCUGCCCUCCGGAGGCAGAGGUCAGAGGUUCGAAUCCUCUCGGGCGCACCA